This 262-nucleotide ribosomal RNA is filed under the name Desulforamulus profundi. RNAcentral describes it as "Desulfotomaculum profundi partial 16S ribosomal RNA". It matches the Rfam family "Bacterial small subunit ribosomal RNA", at positions 1283 to 1533 of the family's 1533-position model. The record is from RNAcentral. Lineage: Bacteria; Bacillati; Bacillota; Clostridia; Eubacteriales; Peptococcaceae.
CGGUCCCAGUUCGGAUUGUAGUCUGCAACUCGACUACAUGAAGUCGGAAUCGCUAGUAAUCGCAGGUCAGCAUACUGCGGUGAAUACGUUCCCGGGCCUUGUACACACCGCCCGUCACACCACGAAAGCUGACAACACCCGAAGCCGGUGAGCUAACCGAAAGGAGGCAGCCGUCGAAGGUGGGGUUGGUGAUUGGGGUGAAGUCGUAACAAGGUAGCCGUAUCGGAAGGUGCGGCUGGAUCACCUCCUUUCUAAGGAGCAU